This 237-nucleotide non-coding RNA is filed under the name Bacillota bacterium. RNAcentral describes it as "Firmicutes bacterium T-box sequence". It matches the Rfam family "T-box leader". From Rfam's summary of the family: Uncharged tRNA acts as the effector for transcription antitermination of genes in the T-box leader family. Lineage: Bacteria; Bacillati; Bacillota. The record is from RNAcentral.
GUAAAGGCGAUGAAGGUGUCAGUAGUAUUUCCUGUACCGGCAGAGAGGAGAAGCCAGUGGCUGAGAGCUUUUCCAGCAGGAUCGGAUACGAAUUUCCCACCGGAGCUGUUCGGCUGAAGAGAGCCUGCUGUCAGUGCUUUUGGGUAGGUCGGAACGCACAGGACACGUUACGUCUGCAAUGAGUGCCUGCCGAUGGCGGGAACAAGGGUGGUACCGCGGAAUUUUUUCGUCCCUGGU